UACGUAGGGGGCAAGCGUUGUCCGGACUUAUUGGGCGUAAAGAGCUCGUAGGUGGUUCGGUAAGUCGGAUGCGAAAUCUCCAGGCUCAACCUGGAGGGGUCAUUCGAUACUGCCGUGACUAGAGUUCGGUAGGGGAGUGUGGAAUUCCUGGUGGAGCGGUGAAAUGCGCAGAUAUCAGGAGGAACACCCGUAGCGAAGGCGGCACUCUGGGCCGAUACUGACACUGAGGAGCGAAAGCGUGGGGAGCGAACAGG
Molecule: ribosomal RNA, 254 nt
Filed under: uncultured bacterium
Lineage: Bacteria
Description: partial 16S ribosomal RNA
Rfam family: Bacterial small subunit ribosomal RNA
Source: RNAcentral